This 407-nucleotide ribosomal RNA is filed under the name uncultured bacterium. RNAcentral's name for it is "partial 16S ribosomal RNA". It matches the Rfam family "Bacterial small subunit ribosomal RNA", at positions 28 to 526 of the family's 1533-position model. The record is from RNAcentral.
GACGAACAAUGGCGGCGUGCCUAAUACAUGCAAGUAGAACGCAGUUGCGAACGGGUGAGUAACGCGUAGGUAACUGCCUGGUAGCGGGGGAUAACUAUUGGACACGAUAGCUAAUACCGCAUACUACCAGAUGGACCUGCGUUGUAUUAGCUAGUUGGUGAGGUAACGGCUCACCAAGGGAACGAUACAUAUCCGAACUGGGAGGGGGGUCGGCCCCACUGGGACCGAGACACGGCCCAGGUGCCCUCUGGAUGCAGCAGGAGGGGAACUUCUGCAAUGGGGGGAAACCUGACCGGGCAACGCCGCGUGGUGGAAGAAGGUUUUCGGGUCGUAAAGCUCGGUUUUUAAGGAAGCGGUACUUAACCAGAAAGGGACGGCUAACUACGUGCCAGCAGCCGCGGUAAUUC